Molecule: long non-coding RNA, 1303 nt
Filed under: Pongo abelii (Sumatran orangutan)
Lineage: Eukaryota; Metazoa; Chordata; Mammalia; Primates; Hominidae
Description: lincRNA
Source: RNAcentral
CUCUGCCAAGGCGCCUAUGACAGCCUGUUGGCUUUUACCUGGUCUGCGAGAAAUCAAACUUUGGGCACAAGUCAUGAAGCCGACAAGCCCGGGAGACACAGUGUCAGAAUUACAAGGUGAGAUCAGCCGCCCGGCCAAGCUAUUUUCUCGCUAGCAGGUCCCGCAUCUGGGGCUCGAUCUCGUGCAGAGGAGCAUUUCCGAAGACACUGGCCGCUCCCACAAUGGCUCCGAAGACCCCAGCGACCAGCGGGUUCAUGAGUUUGUUGGGGUUGUCCCCUCGGUACCAGCUGCGCAGGGAUGUCAGGACAAAGAAACGAGUUGCCUGGUUCCAGCCCUGCUUUAGCACGGGGCCUGUGGGGUCCCCGUAAGUCCCGGUGUUCCCGCACAAUCUCCUAACCCUGUGGAAGAAUCCCCUGUACUUGGAUUUGGAGAGGUCUGACCAUGGAUUAACUUCACCUUGAUGGUCUCCAUGGGACAUAGGACCACCACGGCCUCGGCCACGCUAGCUCACUGGCCGCACCGCUGCCCGCCUUUCUGUUCACCAGUCCCUGGGCAUCCCGCAUGUGGUUGCUGAGGAACGCCUCACGCCGCCUUGUGGAUGAAGCCGCAGAGCAGGGAGCUGAGGCUGCGGCCCAGGCCCAGGAUGCCUUGGCUGCGACUGUGUGCCUGCAGGCCCCAUGCCCGGUAUCCGGUGGAUGCGAGUGCUAGUCCAGCUGCAGCUGCAUCUUCACGAACUCGGUGGGGAAUGGGAUGCAGAUUUUUUUUUUCUUUUCCUUCCUUCCUUCCUCUUUCUUUCUUCUUUUUUUUUUUUUUUUUGGACAGAAUUUUGCUCUUGUCCCCCAGGCUGGAGUGCAGUGGCGCGAUCUUGGCUCACUACAACCUGGAUUCAAGCGAUUCUCCUGCCUCAGCCUCCCGAGUAGCUGGGAUUACAGGCAUGUGCCACCACUCCCGGCUAAUUUUUUUGUAUUUUUAGUAGAGACGGCGUUGCCCCAUGUUGGUCAGGCUGGUCUCGAACGCCUGACUCAGAUGAUCCGCCCGUCUCGGCCACCCAAAGUGCUGAGAUUAUAGGCAUGAACCACCGCGCCCGGCCCUGUGAUGUAGAUUUUGAUGCCGCCAGCCAGGCUGCCUGCCGGGAUCGCCUGCCCUGGAGCGGGAGCAUCAGCCGGGCCUUCCGGGACGCAGGCAUGGCAUGACCGGCAGGAGGCGGAGUGCCCGGCGUCUCCUGGGAUCGGAGCCUCCUGAACUCCACGCUGGGACCUUAAUUUGGUUUUAACACAACUAAAGAUCUCACAUAAAGAUAAAA